CGGUCUAGAAUAGCUGACGAUAGUUAGCCAAGAUUAGGUUGUUGUAAAUAGUUGUUACGCUAUGUACAGCUGUACUUCUUUGGUUGUUACGCUAUGUAUAUCCUUGGCGCGUUUCGUCGCCCUAUAUUAACAUGCAGGCAGAGCACGGAACUGUGUGGCUGCUUUCACCCAUUCUUCCGCACCUCUGUUAUUCUUACAUGGUAUCAGAGCGUAGGUUAGAUCCUAUCUACAAACAUGGCCGGCAGCUCCUCCUCCGCUUCUGGAAUUGCCUCCAUGCUCACCCAUCCAGUCUCAGAGAAGCUCGCCAAAAACAACCAUGCAACAUGGAAGGCCCAGGUCGUCGCCACCAUGCGCGGCGCUCGCCUAGAGGGCUACCUCACCGGCAAGGCCACGGCGCCUGCUGCUGAACUUGAUGGCAAGGACGGUGACAAGGGCGUCAAAGUCGUCAAUCCUGCAUAUGAUGACUGGCUAGCUUCGGAUCAGCAGGUCCUUAGCUUCCUUCUUGCCUCUGUAUCCAAGGAGGUCUUGACUCAGAUCGCCACCAAAACAACUGCGGUUGAUGCAUGGCGCACCAUCGAGACCAUGUUCUCGUCGCAGAAACGAGCACGCGCUGUAAAUACGCGCCUGGCUCUCUCCACCACCCACAAAGGGAAUAUGACAGUGACCGAGUACGUCGGGAAGAUGCGUUCUCUCGGCGAUGAGAUGGCUGCAGCAGGGCGGCCCCUUGAAGAUGAUGAACUGGUGGAAUAUAUUCUCACCGGUUUGGAUGAAGAAUAUGACUCGCUGGUGUCCGGAGUCCUCUCUCGUACCGAUCCAAUCUCGGUGAGUGAACUCUACUCUCAGAUGCUUGCCUUCGAGACUCGGGUUGAACUGCGAAACAAUAGCAGCUCAUCUGGAUCAUCUGCCAAUAUUGCAAAUCGACGAGGACGUGCCGGCUUCGGGCGGAAUGGUCGUGGCGGCCGUGGAGGAAGAGGCACCAGUGCCCCGUCGCAACGUGGCGGCCGUUACAACAACAACAACAAUUUCCCUCGCCAAGGGAGCAGCAACAUGCGCAGCAACAAUUCCACAAACAAGCCUCCAUGCCAAGUUUGCUUCAAAGUUGGACAUACUGCAGAUCGAUGCUGGCACAGGUUUGAUGAGAACUUUGUUCCAGAUCCAAGGCAUGCUGCUGCGGCUGCCACAAGCUCCCACACUGUAGAUACCAACUGGUACACAGAUACGGGAGCUACUGAUCACAUAACUGGAGAACUGGACAAGCUGUCAUUCAGGGAAAAAUACAAUGGAGGCGAUCAAGUUCACACAGCUGAUGGAACAGGUAUGGAUAUUAAUCAUAUUGGUAAAGCUACUAUUCAUACCCAGACUUGCAAUCUUAGCCUAGAUCAUAUCUUACAUGUUCCACAAGCCACAAAGAAUCUUGUAUCUGUUCAUCGUCUUACUGCAGAUAAUAAUGUCUUUCUUGAAUUUCAUCCUAACUUCUUCUUGAUAAAGGACCGAGACACGAAGAGCACACUACUUAAAGGGAGAUGUCACAAGGGAUUGUACCCUCUGCCAUCAGUAACGUCCAAGCAAGCUUUUGGAGUCACCAACCCAUCUUUUGAAAGGUGGCAUAGCCGCCUUGGUCAUCCUGCUGCCCCCAUUGUCCAAAGGGUCAUUAGUAGCUUUAAUCUUCCAUGUCGAGUUGAGUCAAAUAAAGAGUCUGUGUGUAGUGCUUGCCAGCAAGCCAAAAGCCAUCAGCUACCUUAUUCAAAGUCGUCUAGUGUUUCUAGUCAUCCCUUAGAACUUGUGUUUUCAGAUGUCUGGGGGCCUGCACCUGAAUCUGCUGGCAGAUAUAAGUACUAUGUGAGCUUUAUUGAUGAUUUUAGCAAGUUCACUUGGAUUUAUCUUCUCAAGUCUAAAUCUGAAGUGUUUCAAAAGUUCCAUGAGUUUCAAAACCUUGUUGAGAGGCUUUUUGAUCGAAAAAUUAUCACCAUGCAAACUGAUUGGGGAGGUGAAUAUGAGAAACUUCAUUCUUUCUGUACUAAGGUGGGCAUAUCACAUCAUGUUUCUUGCCCCCAUACUCAUCAGCAAAAUGGUUCUGCUGAGAGAAAACACCGGCAUAUUGUAGAGGUUGGUCUAUCCCUCCUUGCUCAAGCAUCUAUGCCACUCAAAUUUUGGGAUGAAGCCUUUCUAACAGCUACAUUUCUCAUUAAUCGCACCCCAAGCAAAGUAAUAUCCCAUGAAACACCCCUAGCACGCUUAUUCCAUGUCAAACCUGAAUAUUCAUCUUUUCGCAUUUUUGGUUGCGCUUGUUGGCCUAAUCUACGACCAUAUAACAAACACAAACUUCAGCUCCGCUCCAAAGAAUGCGUAUUCCUUGGCUAUAGCAAUAUGCACAAAGGAUUCAAGUGUCUCGAUGUUGCCACCGGGCGUGUCUACAUCUCUCGUGACGUUGUUUUUGAUGAGGACGUUUUUCCCUUCUCCAAACUGCACCCUAAUGCCGGGGCCCGGUUAAAGUCUGAUACUCUCCUUCUAUCACCAACUCUUGUUCCUGCUAGCCUACUGCGCUCUGGGGCUGAAUGUGUAGUUGAUCCUAUGAUUAAUAAUCCUGCUGCUAACAACCUUCCUGCAGACACUAGUGGCUCACAGGAUCCAGCUGAUGCAACAAAUCCGGGCACGGGAUCCGAUGGUGAUCCGCCGGCGCAAUCUGCCCCGGACUCUGCUCCUGCCCGUACACUGCCAGGGCACGCUCCCGUGUCGUCGCCUGACGGUCAGACUCACCUGUCCGGGUGUGACACGCGGCACACCGCGCCCAGUCAUCCGCCUCCGUCGUCUCCUGCCCGUACACCAUCUUCAGUAUCCGAUGGUGGCACCACGCGUCCAGGCGACGAUGCGCCUGUCGCGGCUGAGGGAGGCAAUGACAACCCUGCGGAUACUGAAGAUGCGGAUACUGAAGAUUCGCCUGCGCAGGUGCCCGGAUCCUCUGCGCCAUCCUCCACACCAAUUGAAGCAUCACACCGACCACACACCAGACUCCAGGCUGGUGUCAGGAGACCAAAGGUAUAUACUGAUGGCACUGUUCGCUAUGGUAGUUUUGCUUCAUCUGGUGAACCACAAUGCUUAGAAGAAGCUCUAGGAGAUAGAAAUUGGAAGUCUGCAAUGGACAUUGAGUAUGAUGCUCUUGUUAAAAAUAAAACAUGGCACCUAGUUCCACCUCAGAAAGGUAGAAAUAUAAUAGAGUGCAAAUGGGUCUAUAAGAUCAAACGCAAAGCUGAUGGGAGCCUGGAUAGGUAUAAAGCAAGAUUGGUUGCAAAAGGUUUUAAGCAAAGAUAUGGCAUAGAUUAUGAAGAUACCUUUAGUCCAGUUGUCAAAUCUGCUACUAUCAGAAUAGUGCUCUCUAUAGCUGUCUCCAGAGGAUGGAAUCUUAGACAGCUAGAUGUCCAAAAUGCCUUCUUACAUGGUUAUCUAGAAGAAGAAGUUUACAUGAAACAACCACCCGGCUAUGAGGACAAAACCAAAUUUAAUUAUGUGUGUAAACUGGAUAAGGCCCUAUAUGGUUUGAAACAAGCGCCACGUGCAUGGUAUUCUCGCUUAAGUGCUAAGUUACAAAGUCUUGGAUUUCACUCCUCAAGGGCGGAUACAUCCUUGUUCUUUUUCAACAAGGGAGGCAUAACUAUAUUUGUUUUGAUAUAUGUUGAUGACAUAAUAGUUGCUAGCUCAACACAUGAUGCCACCAAAGCCUUGUUACACCAGCUCGGUCAGGAGUUUGCCCUCAAAGAUCUGGGCGAACUUAGCUACUUCUUGGGGAUUGAAGUAAAUCGUGCACACAAUGGUAUAAUGUUGACUCAAGAAAAGUAUGCUUCUGACUUACUAAAAAGAGUGGGCAUGACUGACUGCAAACCUGUCACAACACCACUAGCAGUAAAUGAGAAACUAUCAGCAUCUGAAGGUACACCUUUAGGACCAAAUGAUGCAACCCAGUAUAGGAGCAUAGUUGGUGCGCUCCAAUAUCUCACUCUCACAAGACCAGACCUUGCUUUCCCUGUCAAUAAAGUGUGUCAGUUCUUGCACUGCCCUACUGUGAUUCAUUGGGCAGCUGUGAAAAGAAUAUUGAGAUAUGUCAAACAAUCAAUCAAAGUUGGAUUAAAAAUUGAGAAAUCUGAUUCUCUCCUGGUCAGUGGUUUCUCAGAUGCUGACUGGGCUGGUUGCCUUGAUGAUAGAAGAUCAACUGGUGGUUUUGCUGUGUUCCUAGGCUCCAAUCUGGUAUCUUGGAGUGCACGAAAACAGCCUACUGUGUCAAGGUCCAGUACAGAAGCAGAAUAUAAAGCUGUGGCUAAUGCAACAGCAGAAGUUAUGUGGAUCCAAACAUUGUUGCAAGAACUUGGUAUUGAAUCUCCACGCGCUGCCAAGCUUUGGUGUGACAACAUAGGAGCUAAGUAUCUCUCUCAAAAUCCUGUCUUCCAUGCACGAACUAAACAUAUUGAGGUGGAUUAUCACUUUGUACGAGAACGAGUAUCCCAAAAACUGCUAGUUAUUGACUUUGUUUCUUCAGGAGAUCAAAUUGCAGAUGGCUUUACAAAAGCACUUCCUGUACGACAACUGGAGAACUUCAAGCACAAUCUCAACCUAGCACGGUUGUGAUUGAGGGGGGCUGUUAGAUAAACAAAUAUCUAUGUAAUGCUAUCGUAACAACCUGAAGAUAGCCGGUCUAGAAUAGCUAACGAUAGUUAGCCAAGAUUAGGUUGUUGUAAAUAGUUGUUACGCUAUGUACAGCUGUACUUCUUUGGUUGUUACGCUAUGUAUAUCCUUGGCGCAUUUCGUCGCCCUAUAUUAACAUGCAGGCAGAGCACGGAACUGUGUGGCUGCUUUCACCCAUUCUUCCGCGCCUCUGUUAUUCUUACAUCAGGUACCAACAACCAAGCACUUUGCCGCUUGCUCUAGGGACGAUCAGUAAAACAAAUAGUUUUUUUCAUUUAAGAAAUAGUUUGUUCGACAUUCUAAAAUUCAAUAUACGUGCUUUUAUAUAUUGUAUAUAUAUUUCGUAUAUAAGUAUUGAAAAGUUAAUUCUAUAUAUAUUGCAAACUUGAUCAGGAUAACCACAAAUCCUGCUGAGUUUUUUUUUGAAAGAAAGACAGCAUGUUAUCGCUUCGUUUAUUUAUUUUAGAAAUAAAUUUGACUAAAAAUGUGAAUCAAUUAAGAUUCGAAUUUAGAACCUCGAGUAUCAACCACUAAGCUCUUUACUACUUACAUUGGGGACC
This 5234-nucleotide long non-coding RNA is filed under the name Ananas comosus (pineapple). RNAcentral describes it as "long non-coding RNA (ACOM_LNC023875)". The stretch from base 721 to 859 matches the Rfam family "Small nucleolar RNA Z247". The record is from RNAcentral. Lineage: Eukaryota; Viridiplantae; Streptophyta; Magnoliopsida; Poales; Bromeliaceae.